AGUGUACCACCCUGAGUUCCCA
This 22-nucleotide microRNA is filed under the name Ixodes scapularis (black-legged tick). RNAcentral describes it as "Isc-Mir-317_5p* (star (passenger))". Lineage: Eukaryota; Metazoa; Arthropoda; Arachnida; Ixodida; Ixodidae. RNAcentral also lists the same sequence under 1 other name. The record is from RNAcentral.